This 332-nucleotide ribosomal RNA is filed under the name Cylindrospermopsis raciborskii PAMP2011. RNAcentral's name for it is "partial 23S ribosomal RNA". It matches the Rfam family "Bacterial large subunit ribosomal RNA", at positions 2594 to 2925 of the family's 2925-position model. The record is from RNAcentral. Lineage: Bacteria; Bacillati; Cyanobacteriota; Cyanophyceae; Nostocales; Aphanizomenonaceae.
CGGUACGUGAGCUGGGUUCAGAACGUCGUGAGACAGUUCGGUCCAUAUCCGGUGCAGGCGAAAGAACAUUGAGAGGAGUCCUCCUUAGUACGAGAGGACCGGGAGGAACGAACCGCUGGUGUACCAGUUAUUCCGCCAGGAGUAGACGCUGGGUAGCCAAGUUCGGAGAGGAUAACCGCUGAAAGCAUCUAAGUGGGAAGCCCACCUUAAGAUGAGUGUUCUCACUACGAGAGUAGGUAAGGUCACGGGGAGAAGACCCGUUGAUAGGCUUUAUGUGGAAGUACAGUAAUGUAUGUAGCAGAGAAGUCCUAACAGACCGAGGGCUUGACCUC